GAUCCUGGCUCAGAAUCAACGCUGGCGGCGUGCCUAACACAUGCAAGUCGCACGAGAAAGGGACUUCGGUCCUGAGUACAGUGGCGCACGGGUGAGUAACACGUGAAUCAUCUACCUCCGAGUGGGGAAUAACCUAGAGAAAUCUGGGCUAAUACCGCAUAACACUUACGAGUCAAAGCAGCAAUGCGCUUGGAGAGGAGUUCGCGGCAGAUUAGUUAGUUGGCAGGGUAAUGGCCUACCAAGACGAUGAUCUGUAUCCGGCCUGAGAGGGCGCACGGACACACUGGAACUGAAACACGGUCCAGACUCCUACGGGAGGCAGCAGUGGGGAAUUUUGCGCAAUGGGGGAAACCCUGACGCAGCAACGCCGCGUGGAGGAUGAAAUCCCUUGGGAUGUAAACUCCUUUCGAUAGGGAAGAUAAUGACGGUACCUAUAGAAGAAGCCCCGGCUAACUUCGUGCCAGCAGCCGCGGUAAUACGAGGGGGGCAAGCGUUGUUCGGAAUUAUUGGGCGUAAAGGGUGCGUAGGCGGUUUGACAAGUCUUAUGUGAAAUCUUCGGGCUCAACCCGAAGUCUGCAUGGGAAACUGUCGGGCUUGAGUAUGGGAGAGGUGAGUGGAAUUUCCGGUGUAGCGGUGAAAUGCGUAGAUAUCGGAAGGAACACCUGUGGCGAAAGCGGCUCACUGGACCAU
RNAcentral lists this ribosomal RNA (690 nucleotides) under uncultured Acidobacteriota bacterium. Its description in RNAcentral is "bacterial SSU rRNA". It matches the Rfam family "Bacterial small subunit ribosomal RNA", at positions 15 to 737 of the family's 1533-position model. The record is from RNAcentral. Lineage: Bacteria; Pseudomonadati; Acidobacteriota.